Molecule: ribosomal RNA, 1548 nt
Filed under: Triticum aestivum (bread wheat)
Lineage: Eukaryota; Viridiplantae; Streptophyta; Magnoliopsida; Poales; Poaceae
Description: partial small subunit ribosomal RNA
Source: RNAcentral
AUGAAGCCCAAGGCCGCCGCCGGCGAGAAGGGCCGCGGAGUGGACCCGUCGCUGCCGCGGUUUAAGUGCCAGGAAUGCCACCGGGCGCUCCUCGUCGUCGGCGUGGAAUCAUUCCCUGAUAGGUUGCCUGCUCACGCCAACUCCGGUAUGCAUGCAUCCUCUGUUCAAGGCAGUAUUAUGGGGGCGAGCAGGAUGGACAGUUCUUAUGUUGUGUUGUCCAAGCAGAACAGAUCUCAAGGCCCUGGGAUUCCCCCACGGCCACCAAAUGCAGCAGCCCGGCAUGUCGAGCCUAACCAAUCAACAAGAGCAAUAGAGGGAUCAUAUAUAAUGCUUCCACCUGCCGCUGCUUCCAUAUACAAGACAUCUACCUCCGAAGGUGGUGGCGCGCAUCUGUCGCCUCCAAAUCUUAACUCUACUAGCCCUUCACCAGGCAACAAUACUGGAUUUCACUCUAGUGUGACUGUCUUAAAGCGGGCAUUUGAGAUUGCUAGUUCACAAACUCAGGUUGAGCAGCCACUAUGUCUGGAAUGUAUGAGGGUGCUUUCUGAUAAGAUGGACAAGGAGAUUGAGGAUGUAAAUACUGACAUCAAAGCUUAUGAUGCAUGUCUUCAACGUUUGGAGCAGGAAUCCUACAAUGUCCUUAGCGAAACUGAUUUCCUCAAGGAGAAAGAAAAGAUAGAGGAGGAAGAAAAGAAACUAAAAACUGCUAUUGAAGAAGCAGAAAAGCAAUAUUCUGAAGUUAGCUCUGAGAUGAAGGAUCUUGAAACAAAGUCGAAACAAUUUGAAGAAUUAGAAGAGCGGUAUUGGCAUGAAUUCAACAGCUUCCAGUUUCAGCUGACAUCUCACCAGGUAUAUAUACCAUACCUAUUACAGGCCACACAUUGUCAGCUUCCAGAAGAAAGAGAUGCGGUUUUGGCCAAGAUAGAAGUUUCACAGGUCCACCUGGAAUUGUUAAAGCGCACAAAUGUUCUCAAUGAUGCAUUCUAUAUUUCACAUGAUGGAGUUAUUGGAACAAUAAACAACUUCCGUCUCGGUCGUCUGCCUAAUGUACAGGUUGAGUGGGAUGAGAUAAAUGCUGCUUGGGGUCAGGCUGCUCUUCUGUUACACACCAUGGCUCAGUACUUCCCGAAAUUCCAAUACCGAAUCAAGAUUCACCCUAUGGGAAGCUACCCAAGAGUAACAGACAUCAACAAUAAUACCUAUGAACUGUUUGGUCCUGUGAAUUUAUUCUGGAGCACCCGAUUUGACAAAGCCAUGACAUGGUUUCUCACUUGCCUUCAAGAGUUCUCUGAGUGUGCCAUAAGUUUGGAUAAAGAGAACAAUGUUCCGGCUGAUAAGUCAUUGAAGCUCCCCUACAAGAUUGAUGGUGACAAAGUAGGGAGCUAUACGAUCUUCUUAAGUUUUAAUAAACUGGAGAACUGGACAAAGGCUCUAAAAUAUAUGCUUUGCAACCUGAAGUGGGUUCUCUACUGGUUUAUCGGCAAUACAAGUUUUGCGCCACCAUCUGCAUCUUUGUACUUGGCGCAGUCUCCAAACAAGAAGGGUUGA